CCCACCUAAAGGAUUUCCAGGGUCUGCUGUACAAUAGCAAUACUGCUGAGUGUCUUAAUUGUCACAGUUCUGAUGUUUUUCUUGUUUCAGUGUCAGUUGGAUAUAAGGACACAUCUGUUUCCCUGCCCUGGAAAUGGACCCAAAGGAAUCAGAAACAAAGGACGCUGAUGCUGCUUUUCAUCCUUCUGCCUAAGGAGAAUAAAUGUUUGUGCAAACCUUUUGUCAUGUGGCUGCCCAGAAAUGACCCAAGUGAAGCCAAGAAGCUGAACAUUGGGCAACCUCCCCCUGGUGAUGCUGCUGAAAUGAGAGAAUGCAUCCUCUGACAUAGUUUACCUGUAAAUUUUCUUGCCUGAAGAUUUGCCACUCUACAUUGUUCCUGCAGGGACCACACAGAAGAAAAAGACCUAGGACCAUGCCUCCACAUCACACCAAAUGCCCCUUUCUGGCCACCAGGCAUAGGAACUCCGUGAGGUCUGAUCCUGUGCACACUGGGGGAAGAUGAGGAUCUCAAGCAAUGCCUUUUUAUUCCAGAGCAGCUGCUCCUGCUAAGCUGAGUGGGGCUGUGGGCAGCAGAGAGGUGAAUCCCAUUUCUGGGAUAGGUGAGCUGUUGAAACAUGCAGGAUUUUCUGCUGCCUUUGGCUUUUUGAGUUAAUGGGUGUGAAACUUUUCACUUCUGCUUUUCAUGUGCAUGCUUGGUGCGAUGCACUUCUGGUGUGGAGUUUUGCAAUCAGGAGAUUUCCCCAUCAAGUUUGGGUUUGUUUCUCUGAUUUUUACAAGGGAUGAACAGGCUAUCACUUCAGGGCAAAGCAGACAUGUAGCACAUCAGGGCAGGGAAAUCCAAGAAAAAUAGUAUCUGAAUACUAUUUGUGUUGCAAGCACAUGUAGGCGUUUAUUAUUUCUGAGAGCUCUCUCGUCAGUCAGACACUGAACAAUCGUGACAUCUGUUGUAAGUUACUGUCCCCCAGAGUCGUUUUACACAGUUUGGAGUUUGCUUUUUCAAAUCCACCACAAAUAAAGCCCAGCAUUAUCUCUCUGUCCCCACAAAGGCAAGUGGGAACCUCCUGGGGAAAUGCUGCAGACUGCGAGGAGGUGGAGAGGUUUAGCAGAGGAGGCUGUUUGGGUCCUCUCUGCCUUACUAUGGGUUGAGCAAUGAACCCCCCAGUCCACACUGUCAAAGGGACCCCCCUGAGGUCCACAGGAGAUGAGACAAUGGUAAUUUCAUAAAAACAAAAACAAAGACCAAGUGCAAGGGCUGACCUGCAGCUCCAAACUUUGUGAGCCAUCAUCCUGUGCUGCGUUGGGGAUCCCUGUGUUGGUGUUCACAGGUUUGCACUUUGUUGGUGCCUCCCACACUGCUGCUGGGAGCUGGGAAGGCCAGAGCCAAGUCAUCUUUCCCUUUCAGCCCAUCUGCCUGCACUGGGGAAGAAAUACUGUCUGUUUGUUUAGGUGAGAUAUUAGUCUGCCCCCGGAGCUCCAGGUCACUGUAAAUGUAACACAAGCCCUAUUUCCUGUUAGGAAAGGGGAAAAAAUAUGCCUGUGAAUUGUCUCUGAUGUGCUGCCAAUUGUCAGGGAAGAUUCAAUUUGGUGGAGAAUUACUGUGCUCUUAAAGAGCUGCACCAGUGAUGGAGAUUUAGGGCAGCUGCUUCUUCCAGAAAUGGGAGAUUUGUCUGAUUUCCACAAAACCAGGGUUGUGACUGGCAGCCAGCUGCCCACUCCACAGGCCUGAAUGGCUUGGAGGGGAGGCUGGAGCAGGGGCUCAGGUUAAGGGGACCAUAUUGGGACAAGAAGGGGACACCUGUGCAUGGCUGAAGGAGAGCUGGGCAGAGGUUUGGGGUGAGGCUGGCAGGGGCUGGGGUAAAGCUUUCUGUCAGUGUUUCACUAUGGUAAAGGAAAAAUGGUAUUUUCUUGCCACCUAGCCAAAAAUUCAGACCAAAAGAGACAAGAAUUUGCUCUGUGUGUAAUGCACACAUGUGUUCACUUGUAAUCCAAUAAAGCAAAUAUGUGACCUGUGGAAUGACCCAAAGCUGCCACAAUAAAUAAUGUUAUAGAUCACUCAUGCAUUUUGCUUUCUUUUGCAUUUGCUGUAUCAAGGCCAAUUUCAGCUGUUGUCUAAGCAGCCAUGUAUAGACAGGUACAGUAGAAAUCCCCCUUGCCCUUCCAAAACUGGCAAAAAAUGAGCUUCCCUCUCUUUUCAUUAUACUUAUUGCAAAGAGUAGCAUUUCAAUUUAGGCCUGGAUAAAGGUGCAGUGCACUUAGGUAAAGCUGAUGUGUUUACAUCAUGUUUUUUGGACUCCUCUGUAGGCC
Molecule: long non-coding RNA, 2304 nt
Organism: Serinus canaria (Common canary)
Lineage: Eukaryota; Metazoa; Chordata; Aves; Passeriformes; Fringillidae
Exons: 4
Source: RefSeq, a predicted model, not a curated record